AGAAUCAACGCUGGCGGCGUGCCUAACACAUGCAAGUCGAACGAGAAAGGGGUAGCAAUACCCUGAGUAAAGUGGCGCACGGGUGAGUAACACGUGACUAACCUACCCUGGAGUGGGGGAUAACUGAGGGAAACCUUAGCUAAUACCGCAUAAUACCUACGGGUCAAAGGAGCAAUUCGCUUUGGGAGGGGGUCGCGGCCGAUUAGUUAGUUGGCGGGGUAAUGGCCCACCAAGACGAUGAUCGGUAUCCGGCCUGAGAGGGCGCACGGACACACUGGAACUGAAACACGGUCCAGACUCCUACGGGAGGCAGCAGUGGGGAAUUUUGCGCAAUGGGGGAAACCCUGACGCAGCAACGCCGCGUGGAGGAUGAAGUACUUCGGUACGUAAACUCCUUUCGAUCGGGACGAUUAUGACGGUACCGAGAGAAGAAGCCCCGGCUAACUUCGCGCCAGCAGCCGC
RNAcentral lists this ribosomal RNA (462 nucleotides) under uncultured bacterium. RNAcentral describes it as "SSU rRNA". It matches the Rfam family "Bacterial small subunit ribosomal RNA", at positions 26 to 518 of the family's 1533-position model. The record is from RNAcentral.